Molecule: long non-coding RNA, 6205 nt
Filed under: Homo sapiens (human)
Lineage: Eukaryota; Metazoa; Chordata; Mammalia; Primates; Hominidae
Description: HSALNT0007221
Source: RNAcentral
CCUUUAACAGAGUGACUGGCACUGUCCUGAAGCUCUCAGUUUCUUCACCUCUGGGUGAGCCAUUAGGCCCCUUCUGGCUCAAAUGCUUUUGGGAUCUACCGUGGUGCCAGGAUUGCUCUGGACUGCCUGCUUUCACAGCCAGCUACCCUUUUCUUGGCCUCUGGAUUGUCUCAAGGCUUGCCUUGUCUUUUCAUGUUGCUGGGACAACUCAGGCACCAACUUGAGGGAAGCCUCCCUUCAGGUGAAUAAACACAUUGACGGUAUGUAUGUAUCUUGGACCAGGGGCUGUGGCCUGUGUAACCAAAGAAGAAUUUCCACUGAGUUACAAGAUUAGCCACUGGCAUUUAGACACUGGAGGCUGGAACACGCAAGGGCAUAUGUUUUGGGGGCUUUUUCUGUCUUCCCUCAGUACUUGCUGAAUUGGACCCCUCACCUACAACGCCCUCUCCCCUCUUGACUCUGUAUCUCAGACCUACUGAGAGACAGUAUGGAGCAGAAGACAAAGUGAGUGCUUCAUAGUCACACACACCAGGGUUCCAUCCUGUUCCUGCUACCCCCUUGAAAUGUGACCUUGGGCAUGAAUUUAAAUAGUUUAGUCAGUAUGGCAUGAUGGUUAAGAGCAUGGAAAAUGGAUCCUGAGUGUCUGGCUUCAAAUCCUAACUUUACUACUUACUAAUUCUGUGAACUUGAACAUGUUAUGACCUUGCUCUACCUCAGUUUCCUCAUACUUAGGAUAGGCAACUCUCAUUGUUUGCUACAAGGAUUACAUAAGAAAGAGAGAGGUAGACAGAUGAAUAGAAGAUAGAUAGAUAGAUAGGUAAUAAAUGGAUAGAUGAUAGGUAGAUAGAUAAUAAAUGGAUAGAUAAAUGAUAGGUAGAUAGAUAAUCAUUUAGAACAAUGUUUCAUGAUUAGUUAAUACUAAGAAAGAGUUUGCUAUAUUAUAAUCUGUUGUUAAAUUAUUUACCUGUAAAUUGAGUGAUGAUAAUCCUACUUCUUAGAGUUGUUUUGCGGUAAGGUGGUUGCUUUUCGUUAUUCAUAUCCUCAGCUAAGCUCAGCUUCUAUUUUCAUUGUUUUCUUUUUUCUUUUAACUGUAGGUUUAUUUUCUUUUCCAAAAAUCUCUGUCUCAGGACAUAAAUACAAAUCAGAAAAAAGUACAUUUAAGACCUCAGAAUAUGGAGGACAAUAUGUAAGAGUGAUAUCAUUUUUAGUUGGUUGAAAACAAAGCUGUAAGAAUUGCUUUCACUAAGAAGUACUUACUCUUUUCAAGGUUAAUAAAUAAAUCAACUAAAAUUUAAAGUCAUAUAUACAGUACAGCCCUCUCAGACAUUCUAGUAAAUACAUAGGUGUGAACAACAACAUAGGCAAUACUUUUAUUCAGUACUUUUUUUUGUACAAUGUUUGUUGAUGAGAAAUUUGUUAGACAAGUCUGGUUUCAUUUGUUGCUAAAUCAUGACCUCUUAGCUAACUAUGGUUGUCUUCUGAUCCUCCUAGCAUACAUACAUUGCCUUCCUCUUUCCAUCUUUGUAUCCCCACCAAGUGAUGCCUAAUAAAAAUUAAAUAAAUGUUGAUUACAAGAAUGAUUAGAAUAGCAGUCGAGUGUUUUCUUUCAAUUUAUAUACACUUACCUUACCAAAGUUAUUCUUGGAUUCUCCCAGGGUAACUCUAUCUCAGCUUUUUCUAUUACUUGUGUUUUUGAGGGAUGGUGAUGAACGCUACAAGGGAAGAACUAUUUGCUCUUAAUUAAUAAUCAAGACUGCUAACUGUCCCCAAAAUUCCAUUCUUCCCUGCCGGAUGUUUACGCUGCCUCUUUAUGGGAAACUAAGGUUUUAAUUUUUAUUUGCAAAAAUACAGCAAGAUGAGAUCUCCCGGUUUCCCUUAUAUGAGUUGUGACCACAUAACUCAGUUCUCUGGGAGUCAGUGUGAAGCAUGAAUAAUGAUCCCAUCUCCAGGUUCAGCCCUCCUCACUCUCCCCAAAUGCGCCUCCAUGCUCAUUCUCUCUUCUAGUCCACUGAGAUGUCAACACCUUGGGUAAUCUUGGAAGCCACAGAGUAAAUAUAUCAAGCUACCACCAGCAUGGGGAGGAGUGACCCUGACAACACCCACCUAGAAGUAUUACAUGUGCAAGAAGUACAUUUUAAAUGUAUUAAUCCACUUAAGUUUUUUUUUUCUCUUUCUUGCCAUAGCUUAGCCUAAUGCAGUGUAGGACACAUAAACAAAUAGAAUCUUUUGUCUAGGAAAAUACAGCUACUAAUUUAUCUGAGCUCCCAAAGUGAGAGGUAGAGGAAACUAAAAUUCCUUUUGUGCUAAAUACCAGACACAAUACUUGGCAAGUACUGGGUGCAUUGCAGAAUUCCUCCCCUAGGAUUUGUCUUGGAAGCCCACGACGUUAGGUAUUAUGAUCCCUGUUUAACAGAUGAGGGAUAUGAAACAGAGAAAGGAGAUGUCAUUUGCUUAGCAAGUAACUGAGAGAACUGAGAAUCAAAGGCAAACCAGAUAAAGUCCAAAGUUCUUUUUCCUGCUGCUGCUGCACAUGAGAGAUGUCCAGUCAACUGCUCUAUUCCCAAGAUGUUUACUGUGGACAAAGAAAGCAUCCUAUAAGUUGAUAUAUAAGUCAGUCUUGUUUUUAGACACUUUGAAUGAACAGUUUUUGUUUGUGCUUUUUAACCACAUACACUUGAACUGUUUCAUGAGAAGUCUGCACUUCUUCAGACUGGGGAAUUGCCCAUCUCGCAUGCUAAGUAUUAACAUGGGAGAGUCUAUAGACAGCAUGAUGUGUGGCCUGGUGCCAGGUCAGGGCAGCUGACCAUAGCUUUCCUGGCCCUUUUUAGGGUUCAUGGCCUUUUUGGCCUCUGUCAUACCCAUACUCAAAGUGGGUGCCUUGUCUACAUUCCUUAGCCUUUCUAUGUAAACAGAACACCCUAACCCAUUUAUGCAACUUUCAAGAGAGCUUUGUAAACAUAGAGAUGGCUUUAAGCCUCCUUUCUCUCACUUGCUUUAAUAAAGUGCUGGGGUAUAGAAACCAGCCUUCUUCCAUCUCGAUCAUCCUGAGAACAUCUCCGGGCUUUAGUUUCCCCUUCUCCAAAAGAAGGGGCCUAGAGCUGGGACUUUUUAAUUUGCUACCACCAAAGAUACCAUUUUUUGUAAAACUUUAAUCUCAAGGAGUCCUAAGUUUUAUGAAACCAGAGAACCAUGUCUUAUCUUCAGUGUUUAGUACCAUACCUGGCACAAAACUGUUUUUUUGCUAAAUAUUUGCUGAAGACACUACAAUCUACAAAACUCCAUAAACUUGGUAGUCAUUAGGGGUCUUCACUAAAUAUUUCAAAUGCUCUCGCCUUCUGAUAACUGGAUGGGAUCACACUGCCAGGCCCCCUAGGGCUAUGCUGGGUCACUGGACUUAAUCUGGCCAGUGAUCUGCAAGAGAAGUAUUUAAUCACCAGUGCGCAGUCCUCAAGAGUUCUCAUUUUCCUCUGCAGGGAGAAGGCAAUGUUCUAGAUAGAAACUGCUUUAUUGGCCUGGGUUUCUUGGAGCGAAGAAACAUUGAGGAGCAGAUCCCCCAGCUGAUUCAGCAGACGUGCAGCAGAAGCCGACGGAAACCUCUGCUGUUUUAAGGCACUGAGAUUUUGGAGUUGUUUGCUAUCAUAGUGUAAUCUAUCAUCUCCUAACUGAUUCAAUGUGUUUAUCACAAUUAAUUGGUUUUUCUCAGUUUUAAUAACCAUAGAAAUACACAGCUGUCAUUCAGAGCCUCUAACAAGAAAGUGGUGUGACUCAUUAAACUGGUAGCACUCCUGCCAAAACCAAAGCAAUGUGAUCAUUCCAGUAGCAAUUGUUGCAAUAGAACCGUUUUAUUAUUUGUAAGAUAAAUGUAAUUUCUGCUAGGCUUUUUCAGCCUCUGGAUAUAUCUUAGAUGCUCAUGACUACUUCAGCUCCUGUUUUUACUGAGUGUGCUUAGUUCAACUGUCACUGGCUUAUGUAUCCCGGGGCCCUUCCAGUUGGGCAUGCUGGAAAAAAAAACAUCCUCUUUGGAAGCAGUAGUACGUUCUUGAACCUCUCUGAACCUCAGUUUCCUUACUUAUAAAACAAGAAUUACAAAUACUACCUCACUUCCUCACUCAAUAGGAACUGCUCUCCCCAAAGAUGAAAAGAAGGGAUGUAAUAACCUUUCCAUCACAGGUGGUGAACCUAGAGGAGAGGAUCUGAAUCCCUGAUCAGUCGGUCCAGGUUUGGCUUCCUUUCUGUGCAGCUCAGAUGAGUGACUUUGGGUGAGUUGCCUAACCUGAUUCAUCCUUUGCUUCCUUCACUCUGAAAUAAGGAUCAUAGCAUCUGUGACCCCAACUGAGGUAACCUGAGUGAAAGCAAAAUCACUUUGGAACUGAGAAACUGCUCUCUGGAACCUCCGCACCUUGGCACGUGGCAAUCCAUUUGCCUGAGAUGCCCUUCCUUGCCUCUGUUGUCUCUUUCUUGGCAAAUCCUUUCUGAUACCUCAGGGUUCUGCCUAUGUGUCAUCUCCUUGAGUGACAUAGUGCACUCCAGGUCUCUGUUUUGUCUGUACACACAUAAAAAGUCCCCUGGGUUAUACAUUUUGUGUUCACAGCCUAAGCCCUGAACUGCACCCGGAUGUUUCUCCUCAAGGUCAUGACGGUGUUAUGUAUUUAUUUCUUUGUAUAAUAAUGAUCCCCAGUUAAACUUUUAUCUUUCUGACCAUGAAAUUAUCUUUUGUCUCCCUCAAGUUCCCCCUCAAAUCACAAGGUGUACCCCAAAUUCUCAUCCUUGAGAAUAUCCUCUAUGUGAGGCACUCAUGCCUGCUCAUCCUAACCCAAUAUACUUCCCCUAGAUUUGGGAAGAAGAAAACUGUUUUAGGUGCCAAGAUGGACUGCAGAGGCCAGAAAAUAUGUAUUAAAAGAGGAGACAAUAUUUUUAUCAGGGAUUUUUAAAAGGAGCCAGAUAGGUGACAUUAAAACUUUCCUUUGGCAGCUCAUUCCCAAUGAAGAAGUAAUCAGACUCCACCUGAUUUAUCAGCUUUCACAACCAACUCUAUUUUCUUUCUCUCAUCCCUGUCUUUCCUUCAAGUGCAAUCUAGGGUGCAGCUACUUUAAUCUUACUGUUCUUCAAACAUGACUUCUUCCUUGUUUCUUUGUCUUGUCUCAAGGUACUUCUUCUGCCAGCAUAUCCUGUCCUAUCCCUCAAUGUUACCCGGAAAAUUGCUCAAAAAUCAUCUUUUCUGUGAAGCAUCCCAAAUCAUCCCCAAGGCAGUAGGUCACUCACUUCUUUGAACAUUCCUCAAUAACAGCACAGAUCAAGGGCCUGUGCUACCUUCUGAUCUGCAGCUGCAAAUAUUGCCUGAUGCAAAAUGAAUACUCUGUAAUAUUUCUGAAAAGGUGAAAGUGAAAUAAUGUGGGACGGAGCUUAUAGUCAUUGUUUAUGUACACAUUCCAGGCAUAGGGUUAGAAGCUUUGAACAUACUGUAUCUUAAUUUUUACAACAACAAUUUUUAGUAAAUUUUCUUAUUUUCAAAGGACACUGGGGAUCAGAGAGUGAAGAACUUGCCUAUGGUCACACACCUGGCCCCCAUACUCCCUGAGACACAACAACAUUGAUAUUAGACCAGUUAAUAACUCUACAAUGGCCUGUAAGUGUUCAAGUGAAAGGAAGAGUCGCAUAUCUCUCACUGUAAAUCAAAAACUAGAAAUGAUUAGGCUCAAUGAGGAAGCCACGUUGAAAGCUGAGAAAGGCUGAAAGUAGGCUUCUUGUGCCAAAUAGUUAGUCAAGUUGUGAAUGCAAAGAAAACAGGCUUGAAGGAAAUUUAAAGUGCUACUUCAGUGAACACAUGAAUAAUAAGAAAGUGAAUCAGCAUUAUUGCUAAUAGAAAGGAAGUUUCAGUGGUCUGGAUAGAAGAUCAAAUCAGCCAUAACAUUCCCUUAAGCCAAACCCUAAUCCAGAGCAAGGCUCUAACUUUCUUAAAUUCUGUGAAGGCUGAUAGAGAUGAGGAAGCUGCAGAAGGAAAGCUUGAAGCUAGCAGAGAUUGGUCCAUGGGGUUUAAGGAAAGAAACCGUUUCCAUAACGUAAAAGUGGAAGGUGAAGCAGCAAGUACUUAUGUAGAAGCUGCAGCAAGUUAUUCAGAAGAUUUAGCUAGGAACAUUGAUGAAGAUGGCUACAUUAAAUAACAGAUCUUCAAGGUAGAUGAAAUAGCCUUCUAUUGGAAGAAGAU